UCAUUUCUUCGUUGAUUGAAAUUGAAAGCAGUGGUGAAGGACUGCUGGUGGGCAGUGCUGUAUAAAAGGAGGGGGCAAAUGGGGCAGUAGCCAUCCAAACAAACUACAGUAAAGCCCCGGGCCUCGAGCGUCCCCGUUUUCGAAGAAAUCGGUUUUUGAAUGAAAAUUUUUAGAUUUUUUUUUUUUUAUUUUCGCUUCUGUUUUCGAACAAAAACGGACGACCGUAUUAACCCCCAAUAAUGGCUCCAAAGAAG
Long non-coding RNA from Syngnathoides biaculeatus (alligator pipefish), 254 nucleotides. RefSeq lists it as uncharacterized. The record is from RefSeq and is a predicted model, not a curated record. The transcript has 2 exons. NCBI's taxonomy places the organism in Eukaryota, Metazoa, Chordata, Actinopteri, Syngnathiformes, Syngnathidae.